AUGACGACCGCCCCCUCCGGCAAAGGCAAGCCUCGCGUUCCCCGCAAGACCGCCGCCGCGCCCAAGCCGAAGAAGGCGUUGACGCCCGAACAGCGGGCAAGGGAGUCGGCCAAGAGGAAGGGCCGGAGGCACGCCGCGGACGCGAGGGAUGAAGCCAUCGCGGUGGCCGCCGUCGCCGCCGCCGCGCAGCAGGAGGUCUCCAACGCCCGCGUCACGGUGGCAACGAGGGUGGCGCUCUAUAUGCUAGGGUUAAACCCUAGCCAGCACGGCCUCGUCAAUGCCGCCAUGGCCGCGGCCAGCACCGGCUCAUCCGCGUUCCCUCGGAUGGUGCUGCCCGACUCGCCCCGCGCGUCGGCUUGCACCCCGAUGCCCGGCUUCCACGUCUACCCGCAGGCCUCCCGCCUCUUCUGGGAGUGCUCGCCCGAGGUGAGCGUGGUGGCGCCUUCCAGGCCGGCGCCCGCGCCCAUCGACCUCAGCGCCACACCGGUGGCCGGUAGCUCGUCAUCCGGAGGCGCGAGGAAACGCGCGCGGCAGAUGCCGACCGACGUGAUGUCGGGCGCACGCAACCUGUUCGAUGGAAUGCCGGCCGCCGGCGACGAGGACUACAUGCAGAACCUGAUCUUCGAGGGUGGUGCGCCGGCCGCUGGCUACGAUCCCGACAAGACACAAAAGCCAGGACGGCUGAGGGGCAUUCACGCCGGCCGCUGGCUACGAUCCCGAUCAGGCGGCCUUCAUGCGUGA
RNAcentral lists this ribosomal RNA (741 nucleotides) under Triticum aestivum (bread wheat). RNAcentral's name for it is "partial small subunit ribosomal RNA". Lineage: Eukaryota; Viridiplantae; Streptophyta; Magnoliopsida; Poales; Poaceae. The record is from RNAcentral.